AUUGAACGCUGGCGGCAGGCCUAACACAUGCAAGUCGAACGAGUGGCGGACGGGUGAGUAAUGUCUGGGAAACUGCCUGAUGGAGGGGGAUAACUACUGGAAACGGUAGCUAAUACCGCAUACCAUCAGAUUUGCCCAGAUGUGAUUAGCUUGUUGGUGGGGUAACGGCUCACAAGGGCGACGAUCCCUAGCUGGUCUGAGAGGAUGACGGGCCACACUGGAACGGAGCAACGGGCAAGACUCCUACGGGAGGCAGAGGAGGGGAAUAUUGCACAAUGUGCGCAAUCCGGAUGAAGCCAGGCCGCGUAGAUGAAGAAGGCCUUCGGGUUGUAAAGUACUUUCAGCGGGGAGGCGUUACCCGCAGAAGAAGCACCGGCUAACUCCGUGCCAGCAGCCGCGGUAAUUC
This 406-nucleotide ribosomal RNA is filed under the name uncultured bacterium. Its description in RNAcentral is "partial 16S ribosomal RNA". It matches the Rfam family "Bacterial small subunit ribosomal RNA", at positions 30 to 526 of the family's 1533-position model. The record is from RNAcentral.